UUAUCUUACUCAAGAGAAAGAAAAUUGUAAUAUUUUUAAUUGCCCUUGUGAUUCUUUUAGCACUGAAAAGUAAACUAAACAAAAGGGGGGACCAGUCUGGUGUCACUGUCAUAAGCAAAGGAUUCUGUAGCAACACAGACGUGAAGCCAGAAGACUUCAAACAAAUGCAGCAGACUACCAUGCAUACUAAGGGACCUCACGCUGACAG
RNAcentral lists this long non-coding RNA (208 nucleotides) under Calidris pugnax (ruff). RNAcentral's name for it is "lncRNA (ENSCPUG00000004500.1)". The record is from RNAcentral. Lineage: Eukaryota; Metazoa; Chordata; Aves; Charadriiformes; Scolopacidae.